Molecule: ribosomal RNA, 450 nt
Filed under: uncultured bacterium
Lineage: Bacteria
Description: partial 16S ribosomal RNA
Rfam family: Bacterial small subunit ribosomal RNA
Source: RNAcentral
GUGGGGAAUUUUGGACAAUGGGGGCAACCCUGAUCCAGCAAUGCCGCGUGCAGGAAGAAGGCCUUCGGGUUGUAAACUGCUUUUGUACGGAACGAAACGGUCUGGGUUAAUACCCUGGGCUAAUGACGGUACCGUAAGAAUAAGCACCGGCUAACUACGUGCCAGCAGCCGCGGUAAUACGUAGGGUGCGAGCGUUAAUCGGAAUUACUGGACGUAAAGCGUGCGCAGGCGGUUUUGUAAGACAGGCGUGAAAUCCCCGGGCUCAACCUGGGAAUGGCGCUUGUGACUGCAAAGCUGGAGUGCGGCAGAGGGGGAUGGAAUUCCGCGUGUAGCAGUGAAAUGCGUAGAUAUGCGGAGGAACACCGAUGGCGAAGGCAAUCCCCUGGGCCUGCACUGACGCUCAUGCACGAAAGCGUGGGGAGCAAACAGGAUUAGAAACCCGGGUAGUCC